This 72-nucleotide transfer RNA is filed under the name Oreochromis niloticus (Nile tilapia). RNAcentral's name for it is "tRNA-Cys (GCA) (tRNA-Cys-GCA-22-1)". It matches the Rfam family "tRNA". Rfam says of the family: Transfer RNA (tRNA) molecules are approximately 80 nucleotides in length. Their secondary structure includes four short double-helical elements and three loops (D, anti-codon, and T loops). Further hydrogen bonds mediate the characteristic L-shaped molecular structure. tRNAs have two regions of fundamental functional importance: the anti-codon, which is responsible for specific mRNA codon recognition, and the 3' end, to which the tRNAs corresponding amino acid is attached (by aminoacyl-tRNA synthetases). tRNAs cope with the degeneracy of the genetic code in two manners: having more than one tRNA (with a specific anti-codon) for a particular amino acid; and 'wobble' base-pairing, i.e. permitting non-standard base-pairing at the 3rd anti-codon position. Lineage: Eukaryota; Metazoa; Chordata; Actinopteri; Cichliformes; Cichlidae. The record is from Rfam by way of RNAcentral.
GGGGGUAUAGCUCAGUGGUAGAGCAUUUGACUGCAGCUCAAGUGAUCUCUGGUUCAAUUCCAGAUGCCCCCU